This 253-nucleotide ribosomal RNA is filed under the name uncultured bacterium. Its description in RNAcentral is "partial 16S ribosomal RNA". It matches the Rfam family "Bacterial small subunit ribosomal RNA", at positions 524 to 776 of the family's 1533-position model. The record is from RNAcentral.
UACGUAGGGUGCGAGCGUUGUCCGGAAUUAUUGGGCGUAAAGGGCUCGUAGGCGGUUUGUCGCGUCGGGAGUGAAAACACCGGGCUUAACUCGGUGCUUGCUUUCGAUACGGGCAGACUAGAGGUAUGCAGGGGAGAACGGAAUUCCUGGUGUAGCGGUGAAAUGCGCAGAUAUCAGGAGGAACACCGGUGGCGAAGGCGGUUGCCUGGGGCUUUGCUGACGCUGAUGCGCGAAAGCGUGGGGAGCGAUCCGG